RNAcentral lists this ribosomal RNA (493 nucleotides) under uncultured bacterium. RNAcentral's name for it is "partial 16S ribosomal RNA". It matches the Rfam family "Bacterial small subunit ribosomal RNA", at positions 29 to 507 of the family's 1533-position model. The record is from RNAcentral.
ACGAACGCUGGCGACGUGCUUAACACAUGCAAGUCGAACGGUGAAGCGCCUUCCUUUUUGGUGGGUGUGGAUGAGUGGCGAACGGGUGAGUAACACGUGAGUAACCUGCCCCCUUCUUCUGGAUAACCGCAUGAAAGUGUGGCUAAUACGGGAUAUUCUGGGUCUGUCGCAUGAUGGGUCUGGGAAAGAUAUUGUUUCGGUGGGGGAUGGGCUCGCGGCCUAUCAGCUUGUUGGUGGGGUGAUGGCCUACCAAGGCGGUGACGGGUAGCCGGCCUGAGAGGGUGGACGGUCACACUGGGACUGAGACACGGCCCAGACUCCUACGGGAGGCAGCAGUGGGGAAUAUUGCACAAUGGGCGCAAGCCUGAUGCAGCGACGCCGCGUGAGGGAUGGAGGCCUUCGGGUUGUGAACCUCUUUCGCCAGUGAAGCAGGCCUGCCUCGUUUGUGGGUGGGUUGACGGUAGCUGGAUAAGAAGCGCCGGCUAACUACGUG